This 361-nucleotide long non-coding RNA is filed under the name Lactuca sativa (garden lettuce). Its description in RNAcentral is "long non-coding RNA (LSAT_LNC003861)". The record is from RNAcentral. Lineage: Eukaryota; Viridiplantae; Streptophyta; Magnoliopsida; Asterales; Asteraceae.
AAAGAUAGCUUCAUCGACUUCAGAAAGCACAGAUGUGAUCUCGGGAGUUCUUACACAGUUCUCCCCCCAUGGGAAAUCGGAACAAUCAAACGAGUUGCUACCCUGAUCGGAACUGAAGUAAAAGGCGGCAGUUUCCGACGGAAUAAAUGGUUUCGCCGCCGGCAUAGGAUUAGCUUCUGGUUUCUCUUCCACAGAUCCAAGUUUGUAAACAGGUUUCCGGGAUUUGGGCUUCGCCGGAGAAGCUUUCUCCGGGAAGUUGACUUUUGCUUUAUCACCACGGAUGCGUCUGGCCUCGGCGUCGUAAGCCCUCGCAGCUUCUUCAGCGGUAUUAAAGGUUCCAAGCCAUACACGGACGCCUUUC